Molecule: long non-coding RNA, 594 nt
Organism: Rhineura floridana
Lineage: Eukaryota; Metazoa; Chordata; Lepidosauria; Squamata; Rhineuridae
Exons: 4
Source: RefSeq, a predicted model, not a curated record
ACCAUCGUGAACGCGCUUCCUUUUCUUUUCCGGCAGGGAAAUCGCCUUUGCGAGGUUCUUUUGUCAGGAGCAACGGAAGGCCGAUUCGGGCGUGGAGAGGAGGACGAAACGCUAAAGAGGCUGGUGUCCCUUGCUGUGUAUUUCCCCAAAGGGGGGGAGUGAGAUCUCUUGGAUCCAGGCCAAAGAGCUCUGUCCAAAGAAGUCAUGUGGGAGUAUUAUGAGAAUGUGGCCUCUCUGGGAUUCAAAGAGAGAAUUCUCCACAUUCCACAAAAAUAGUUGGGCCUGCUUUGAGAACUGAUAUACACAGGAUGAGAGAGCUGUGGCCCUCCAGAUGUUGCUUCCAUCAGCCCUGACGAUUGACUGUGCUUCCUCGUACUGACAGGAGCAGGUCAUGAGAAGGACAAUGAGAGAUAUAUGGAGCCAUCUGAGGAGUCAUCUGAAACAGUCAAGCAUGAAGUGGGAAAAGAGACAUUUGGAGAUCAUAAGGAAUCAGAAAGAUAGGACAGAAAGCAGUCAAAUAUUUGGAGGAAGAAAUACUCUGCAUCUCUGUGUUCAGAACUCCAUGAACUUCCACAAGAUCCCAAAAGAAAGAGA